This 387-nucleotide unclassified non-coding RNA is filed under the name soil metagenome. RNAcentral's name for it is "partial contains 5.8S ribosomal RNA, internal transcribed spacer 2, and large subunit ribosomal RNA". The stretch from base 1 to 120 matches the Rfam family "5.8S ribosomal RNA", at positions 35 to 154 of the family's 154-position model. The record is from RNAcentral.
GAUGAAGAACGCAGCGAAAUGCGAUAAGUAAUGUGAAUUGCAGAAUUCAGUGAAUCAUCGAAUCUUUGAACGCACAUUGCGCCCAUUAGUAUUCUAGUGGGCAUGCCUGUUCGAGCGUCAUUAAUUCCACUUAAGCCCUGCUUAGUGUUGGGAAUCUACUCUAGUAGUGCUACCCUGGAGCUACCCCUGAAAGGGGGCUGGCCCGGUAGCUACCCUGUAGUUCCUCAAAGAUAGUGCGCGGAGUUGCGUGGUCCUCUGAGCUUAGUAACUAUACACCUAGCUUUUGAGUGUCCCGCGGCGCCUGCCGUUUAAACCCCAUCUUUUAAUGGUUGACCUCGGAUCAGGUAGGAAUACCCGCUGAACUUAAGCAUAUCAAUAAGCGGAGGA